CGGUGCUCUUACAGGCCUGCAUAGCGGCCUCUGAGGGAGGGAUAUUCCUGUGGUUAGUGCUGGGCUCAUUUCAGAGGUGAAAAAGGCCAGGUGAAAAAGAAUGACAUUCUCAAAACACUGGGCAGCUUGUCAGCCACAAACAGCAGGUUGUGGGGGCUGCUUUGGAUCUUGGCUGUCCUUCAUGUUGCCGGAUGUCACUGCACAAAUCUAAGCGUACAGGAAAGCGAAAUUCCUCCAUGCUGUGGCCUGCUGGUGUGACAAUCAGGCCCAGAGGCAUGAGAAAGAACAGAUAGGAAACUUCUGUGUGUGUGUGUGAGUGCAUGCACGAGUGUAAGAUACACAGAGGGAGGGGAGACAAACCUAAUUUUCUCUGAAUGAAGAUAAAUCUGUCUGGCCUGGCAGUGGUGAGACAGUAACCCUUACUGGAGCACUUACCUGAUCAUCCCAGUGGCUAAAACAGGGAAGAGUCUGUACAAUAGAAGAGCAGACAACAUGGUCUUUCACCAUCACUGCGGAGAAAAUAGCUGUGUUUCUGUAAAAACAAACAAAGUGCAUGUAGCAGAGAGAAAGUGCAGGAGGUACAGAUGAGACUUGUGCUGCUGCAGCACUCCUUGCACCCUUGCAGCCAGGUUAAAUCCACAGCCUGCGAAAUCAGGUGAGCUGGCAUUAGCACUCAGCCUCGUUAAGGCACAGCUUUCUAAUCCAGGUGUCACGGAGGUGUGCAGUCUUACCUGCUCAAGGAGAGGGAGAGGAAGGAUGAGUAAGAGAAAUGAAAAUGGGAUGCAAGGAAGGGCAAUGCAGAAAGGACAGUCUGGAAAACAAAAAGUAAGUUUCAGGUAUAAGCUAAAUCCAGUGGAAAUUAUGAUGUUUCCUUUCUUUUUCUUAGAAAAUGUAUGAUGAGAAAAGCCCAUCACUUGGGAAAAAGGAGAUGAGAGCCCUGUUUUGUUACAGAACGUUUCAGGAAAAGGUACAUGAGUCCAAGAUCAGUAUGCUUUUCAGAAUGAAAAAAAAUGAGACUGAUACAGACUGUAUCCCGAAGAGCAGGGCCUAGGGAAGGAAGCAAGCCAUUAAUCAUUCACUCAUGGGGCAACAUGCUGGAUGUGCCAAACAGUCAAUAAAGUAGAGCCAAUAACAUCCUAGUCCUGCUGU
RNAcentral lists this long non-coding RNA (1149 nucleotides) under Anser brachyrhynchus (Pink-footed goose). RNAcentral describes it as "lncRNA (ENSABRG00000010345.1)". The record is from RNAcentral. Lineage: Eukaryota; Metazoa; Chordata; Aves; Anseriformes; Anatidae.